RNAcentral lists this ribosomal RNA (1088 nucleotides) under Flavobacterium sp. RNAcentral's name for it is "bacterial SSU rRNA". It matches the Rfam family "Bacterial small subunit ribosomal RNA", at positions 33 to 1136 of the family's 1533-position model. Lineage: Bacteria; Pseudomonadati; Bacteroidota; Flavobacteriia; Flavobacteriales; Flavobacteriaceae. The record is from RNAcentral.
ACGGCAGCGGCAGGCUUACACAUGCAAGUCGAGGGGUAUGCUUCUUCGGGAGCAGAGACCGGCGCACGGGUGCGUAACGCGUAUGCAAUCUACCUUUUACAGAGGGAUAGCCCAGAGAAAUUUGGAUUAAUACCUCAUAGUAUAGUACAAUCGCAUGAUUGAACUAUUAAAGUCACAACGGUAAAAGAUGAGCAUGCGUCCCAUUAGCUAGUUGGUAAGGUAACGGCUUACCAAGGCUACGAUGGGUAGGGGUCCUGAGAGGGAGAUCCCCCACACUGGUACUGAGACACGGACCAGACUCAAACGGGAGGCAGCAGUGAGGAAUAUUGGACAAUGGGCGCAAGCCUGAUCCAGCCAUGCCGCGUGCAGGAUGACGGUCCUAUGGAUUGUAAACUGCUUUUAUACGAGAAGAAACACUCCGACGUGUCGGAGCUUGACGGUAUCGUAAGAAUAAGGAUCGGCUAACUCCGUGCCAGCAGCCGCGGUAAUACGGAGGAUCCAAGCGUUAUCCGGAAUCAUUGGGUUUAAAGGGUCCGUAGGCGGUUUAAUAAGUCAGUGGUGAAAGCCCAUCGCUCAACGGUGGAACGGCCAUUGAUACUGUUAGACUUGAAUUAUUAGGAAGUAACUAGAAUAUGUAGUGUAGCGGUGAAAUGCUUAGAGAUUACAUGGAAUACCAAUUGCGAAGGCAGGUUACUACUAAUUGAUUGACGCUGAUGGACGAAAGCGUGGGUAGCGAACAGGAUUAGAUACCCUGGUAGUCCACGCCGUAAACGAUGGAUACUAGCUGUUGGGAGCAAUUUCAGUGGCUAAGCGAAAGUGAUAAGUAUCCCACCUGGGGAGUACGUUCGCAAGAAUGAAACUCAAAGGAAUUGACGGGGGCCCGCACAAGCGGUGGAGCAUGUGGUUUAAUUCGAUGAUACGCGAGGAACCUUACCAAGGCUUAAAUGUAGAUUGACCGGUUUGGAAACAGACUUUUCGCAAGACAUUACAAGGUGCUGCAUGCUUGUCGUCAGCUCGUGCCGUGAAGUGUCAGGUAAUCUCCUAUAACCGAGCGCACCCCUGUUGUAGUUGCCAGCAAGUCAGUCGGA